Molecule: ribosomal RNA, 858 nt
Filed under: Triticum aestivum (bread wheat)
Lineage: Eukaryota; Viridiplantae; Streptophyta; Magnoliopsida; Poales; Poaceae
Description: partial small subunit ribosomal RNA
Source: RNAcentral
AUGAACCUUUUUUGCUCAAGCACAACCAUAACUUUGGGAGAUGGCCGCAAGGCACUUUUCUGGCAUGACAACUGGAGUGGAAGGGGCCCUCUAACGCUACUUGCGCCGGAGCUUUACAAAAUAGCUUCAAAGAAAAAUAGGACCGUGCAUCAGGAGUUCACAAAUGAUAACUGGAUCAGAGCAGUCGCUAGCCUUCGAUCCCUGCAACAACUGGGGGAAUUUGUUACUCUAUGGGGAUGGAUUAGCCAGACAGUUCUGCUGCCAGAUCAGGAUGACACAAUCUCCUGGAACCUGACCACUAAUGGAGCCUACUCUUCCGCAUCGGCCUAUGCGGCGCAGUUCUUUGGCCCACACCCAAGAUGUGACUCUUCAAAGGUCUGGUCUGCUUACGCUGAGCCCAAGUGCAAAUUCUUUGCGUGGCUAGUCCUGCAUGGUAGAAUCCUCACCGCAGAUAUGUUGGCUAUUCACAGCUGGCCACAUGACCCAAGGUGUCAGCUAUGUCUUCAGCAGCCAGAAACGGCAACCCAUCUUCGCAAGGACUGUCCCUACGCGGUCACUGUUUGGAACCAAGUAAACACCUGGACAAACGAGGGUCUCGCCAUCUCAGGUUUCUUGCCUGAGCCAUGCAUUGUUUCUGACUGGUGGGACAAUAUGCUAGUAGAUGAGCCAUCCCAAGUGCGGAGACGGAGGAGCGGUAGGAUCAUCUACACAAUUUGGGCUAUCUGGAAAGAGAGGAACAGACGCGUUUUCACAGGUCAACGGAUGACUCAUCGCGAGGUUGCUCUACUAGCUUUCGAGGCCAUUAAGCAACGGGAUAUGGCUUUCGUUGGGGCCUUGCCAUCUGUCGGCAUAGGCUGA